RNAcentral lists this signal recognition particle RNA (297 nucleotides) under Prolemur simus (greater bamboo lemur). Its description in RNAcentral is "Metazoan signal recognition particle RNA (ENSPSMG00000013325.1)". It matches the Rfam family "Metazoan signal recognition particle RNA". Rfam says of the family: The signal recognition particle (SRP) is a universally conserved ribonucleoprotein. It is involved in the co-translational targeting of proteins to membranes. The record is from RNAcentral. Lineage: Eukaryota; Metazoa; Chordata; Mammalia; Primates; Lemuridae.
CUCCAUCUUGGCUGGGCGUGGUGGUCAUAGCUACUGGGGAGGCUAAGGCAGGAGGAUCGCUUGAGCCCAGGAGUUCUGGGCUAUAGUGCCUAUGCCCAUCAGGUGUCCACUAAGAUCCAUGUCAAUAUGGUGACCUCCAGGGAGCUGGGGACCACCAGGGUGCCUAAGCCUAAGGAGGUCUGAAGCUGCCCAGGGAAACUAGAGCAGGUCAAAACUUUGGUGCUGAUCAGUGGUGGGAUUGCACCUGUGAAUAGCCACUGCACUCCAGCCUGGGCAAUAUAGUGAGACCCCAUCUCU